RNAcentral lists this ribosomal RNA (383 nucleotides) under Elaphrus aureus. Its description in RNAcentral is "SSU rRNA". It matches the Rfam family "Eukaryotic small subunit ribosomal RNA", at positions 583 to 885 of the family's 1831-position model. Lineage: Eukaryota; Metazoa; Arthropoda; Insecta; Coleoptera; Carabidae. The record is from RNAcentral.
CUCCAGCUCCAAUAGCGUAUAUUAAAGUUGUUGCGGUUAAAAAGCUCGUAGUUGAAUCUGUGUCCCGCACUGUCGGUUCACCGCCCGCGGUGUCAACUGGCAUGUUUGCGGGACGUCCUGCCGGUGGACGCGUCGUCGCGUCCGUGUAUUCAUCGUCUAGUACGGUGUUACACGUGGCGUGCGCCGUCCUAAUUGCGAACCUGUCACGGUGCUCUUAAUUGAGUGUCGAGGCGGGCCGGCACGUUUACUUUGAACAAAUUAGAGUGCUCAAAGCAGGCUAAAAUUUUGCUUGAAUACUGUGUGCAUGGAAUAAUAGAACAGGACCUCGGUUCUAUUUUGUUGGUUUUCGGAACUUCGAGGUAAUGAUUAAUAGGGACAGAUGG